UACGUAGGGGGCAAGCGUUGUCCGGAAUCAUUGGGCGUAAAGAGCGCGUAGGCGGCCCUGUAAGUCCGCUGUGAAAGUCAAGGGCUCAACCCUUGGAUGCCGGUGGAUACUGCAGGGCUAGAGUCCGGAAGAGGCGAGUGGAAUUCCUGGUGUAGCGGUGGAAUGCGCAGAUAUCAGGAGGAACACCAAUAGCGAAGGCAGCUCGCUGGGACGGUACUGACGCUAAGGCGCGAAAGCGUGGGGAGCGAACAGG
This 253-nucleotide ribosomal RNA is filed under the name uncultured bacterium. RNAcentral describes it as "partial 16S ribosomal RNA". It matches the Rfam family "Bacterial small subunit ribosomal RNA", at positions 524 to 776 of the family's 1533-position model. The record is from RNAcentral.